Molecule: ribosomal RNA, 252 nt
Filed under: uncultured Oscillospiraceae bacterium
Lineage: Bacteria; Bacillati; Bacillota; Clostridia; Eubacteriales; Oscillospiraceae
Description: partial 16S ribosomal RNA
Rfam family: Bacterial small subunit ribosomal RNA
Source: RNAcentral
UACGUAGGUGGCAAGCGUUGUCCGGAAUUACUGGGUGUAAAGGGAGCGUAGGCGGGAAGACAAGUUGAAUGUUUAAACUAUCGGCUCAACCGAUAAUCGCGUUCAAAACUGUUUUUCUUGAGUGAAGUAGAGGCAGGCGGAAUUCCUAGUGUAGCGGUGAAAUGCAUAGAUAUCGCGCAGAACCCCGAUUGCGAAGGCAGCCUGCCGGCCCCACACUGACGCUGAGGCACGAAAGCGUGGGUAUCGAACAGG